RNAcentral lists this microRNA precursor (100 nucleotides) under Marmota monax (woodchuck). The record is from RNAcentral. Lineage: Eukaryota; Metazoa; Chordata; Mammalia; Rodentia; Sciuridae.
AGUGGGAUAACUGGGUCAAAUGGUGGGUCCAUUCCAAGUUUUCUGAGGAAUCUCCAAACUGCUUUCAAUAGUUGCACCAAUUUGCAGUCCCACCAGCAAU